UGCUACAGCCAUAUUACCCUGCAGCCCAAGACCGGUUACACACUGAAGCUAAGCAGGGCUGAGCCUGGUCAGUACCUGGAUGGGAGACCACUAGGGAACACUAGGUUGCUGUUGGAA
Molecule: ribosomal RNA, 117 nt
Filed under: Danio rerio (zebrafish)
Lineage: Eukaryota; Metazoa; Chordata; Actinopteri; Cypriniformes; Danionidae
Source: RNAcentral